Molecule: ribosomal RNA, 465 nt
Filed under: uncultured bacterium
Lineage: Bacteria
Description: partial 16S ribosomal RNA
Rfam family: Bacterial small subunit ribosomal RNA
Source: RNAcentral
CUACGGGGCGCAGCAGUGGGGAAUAUUGGACAAUGGGGGCAACCCUGAUCCAGCCAUGCCGCGUGUGUGAAGAAGGCCUUUUGGUUGUAAAGCACUUUAAGCAGGGAGGAGAGGCUAAUGGUUAAUACCCAUUAGAUUAGACGUUACCUGCAGAAUAAGCACCGGCUAACUCUGUGCCAGCAGCCGCGGUAAUACAGAGGGUGCGAGCGUUAAUCGGAAUUACUGGGCGUAAAGUGAGUGUAGGUGGCUCAUUAAGUCACAUGUGAAAUCCCCGGGCUUAACCUGGGAACUGCAUGUGAUACUGGUGGUGCUAGAAUAUGUGAGAGGGAAGUAGAAUUCCAGGUGUAGCGGUGAAAUGCGUAGAGAUCUGGAGGAAUACCGAUGGCGAAGGCAGCUUCCUGGCAUAAUAUUGACACUGAGAUUCGAAAGCGUGGGUAGCAAACAGGAUUAGAUACCCGAGUAGUC